GAUGAACGCUGGCGGCGUGCCUAAUACAUGCAAGUCGAGCGGUAACAGAGAUAGUUUACUAUCUGCUGACGAGCGGCGGACGGGUGAGUAAUGUAUAGGAACAUACCCCAAAGUGAGGGAUAAGCCAGAGAAAUCUGGUCUAAUACCGCAUGUGAUCUUCGGAUUAAAGCUUUAUGCGCUUUGGGAAUGGCCUAUAUCCGAUUAGCUAGUUGGUAGAGUAAAAGCCUACCAAGGCAACGAUCGGUAGCUGGUUUGAGAGGAUGAUCAGCCACACUGGAACUGAGACACGGUCCAGACUUCUACGGAAGGCAGCAGUAGGGAAUUUUCCACAAUGGACGAAAGUCUGAUGGAGCAACGCCGCGUGCAGGAUGAAGGCUUUCGGGUCGUAAACUGCUUUUAUAAGUGAAGAAUAUGACGGUAGCUUAUGAAUAAGGGUCUGCUAACUACGUGCCAGCCGCCGCGGUA
RNAcentral lists this ribosomal RNA (465 nucleotides) under uncultured bacterium. Its description in RNAcentral is "bacterial SSU rRNA". It matches the Rfam family "Bacterial small subunit ribosomal RNA", at positions 28 to 522 of the family's 1533-position model. The record is from RNAcentral.